This 406-nucleotide ribosomal RNA is filed under the name uncultured bacterium. RNAcentral's name for it is "bacterial SSU rRNA". It matches the Rfam family "Bacterial small subunit ribosomal RNA", at positions 354 to 777 of the family's 1533-position model. The record is from RNAcentral.
GUAGGGAAUCUUCGGCAAUGGACGAAAGUCUGACCGAGCAACGCCGCGUGAAGGAAGAAGUAUCUCGGUAUGUAAACUUCUAUCAGCAGGGAAGAAAAUGACGGUACCUGACUAAGAAGCCCCGGCUAACUACGUGCCAGCAGCCGCGGUAAUACGUAGGGGGCAAGCGUUAUCCGGAUUUACUGGGUGUAAAGGGAGCGUAGACGGAAGAGCAAGUCUGAUGUGAAAGGCUGGGGCUUAACCCCAGGACUGCAUUGGAAACUGUUUUUCUAGAGUGCCGGAGAGGUAAGCGGAAUUCCUAGUGUAGCGGUGAAAUGCGUAGAUAUUAGGAGGAACACCAGUGGCGAAGGCGGCUUACUGGACGGUAACUGACGUUGAGGCUCGAAAGCGUGGGGAGCAAACAGGA